Long non-coding RNA from Ornithodoros turicata, 439 nucleotides. RefSeq lists it as uncharacterized. The record is from RefSeq and is a predicted model, not a curated record. The transcript is spliced from 3 exons. NCBI's taxonomy places the organism in Eukaryota, Metazoa, Arthropoda, Arachnida, Ixodida, Argasidae.
GUGUGGAAGGAGGAAAUGGAGAAAGCCACGUGCUCCAAGUUAUCCGCACGGAUCGAGAACAAUUGCUGAUGGUAUCAAGAAGUGGUACUUGAGGUGUCACCGAUCAGGCACAUAUGUUCCAAAAGGCACUGGUGCAAGGCAGCUGCAGUCACAAGGCGUUGUGAAAACUGGCGCAACAUGCCUUGCAUACAUGACAGUUUGUGAGCAAAACUGCAAGAAGGUGUCACUAUGGAUGCUGUCCUGGACAGCAUAGGCAGCAACCUUGACGGAAGCCUUAAUCGGAUACACCUGGCAACGCGACAAGAUCUACAUAACAUGCGAGAUUUCAAAACCACUUAUAAUGAAAGGCUUCACAUGAAUGACUAUAUCAGUGUGAGUCUAUGGGUUGAGAAAAUGAAGUAUGAGCAGCGCAACCCAGUCCCUUUUUUCGAGCACCAGA